RNAcentral lists this ribosomal RNA (313 nucleotides) under Haaniella gorochovi. Its description in RNAcentral is "partial 12S ribosomal RNA". Lineage: Eukaryota; Metazoa; Arthropoda; Insecta; Phasmatodea; Heteropterygidae. The record is from RNAcentral.
GGCGGUAUUUUAGUCUUUUCAGAGGAACCUGUUCUAUUAUCGAUAAUCCUCGUUUUAUCUUACUUAAUUUUGUUUAUCAGUAUGUAUAUCGCCGUUAUAAGUUUAUUUUUUAAGAAUUAAAAUUUACUAGUUAUUUUAUUAUAUUUUAUUUCAGGUCAAGGUGCAGCUUAUAAUUAAGUAGAGAUGGGUUACAAUAUUAUUUAGAUAAAUGGAUUUAAUGUAUUAAUUAAAGUUUUAAUGAAAGUGGAUUUGAUAGUAAUUUUAAUUAUAGUGUUAUUUUGAUUUUUGAUCUAAAGUAAGUACACAUCGCCCG